GACGAACGCUGGCGGCGUGCUUAACACAUGCAAGUCGAACGGAAAGGCCCUGCUUUUGUGGGGUGCUCGAGUGGCGAACGGGUGAGUAACACGUGAGUAACCUGCCCUUGACUUUGGGAUAACUUCAGGAAACUGGGGCUAAUACCGGAUAGGAGCUCCUGCUGCAUGGGGGGGGUGGGAAAGUUUCGGCGGUUGGGGAUGGACUCGCGGCUUAUCAGCUUGUUGGUGGGGUAGUGGCUUACCAAGGCUUUGACGGGUAGCCGGCCUGAGAGGGUGACCGGCCACAUUGGGACUGAGAUACGGCCCAGACUCCUACGGGAGGCAGCAGUGGGGAAUAUUGCACAAUGGGCGGAAGCCUGAUGCAGCAACGCCGCGUGCGGGAUGACGGCCUUCGGGUUGUAAACCGCUUUCGCCUGUGACGAAGCGUGAGUGACGGUAAUGGGUAAAGAAGCACCGGCUAACUACGUG
Molecule: ribosomal RNA, 468 nt
Filed under: uncultured bacterium
Lineage: Bacteria
Description: partial 16S ribosomal RNA
Rfam family: Bacterial small subunit ribosomal RNA
Source: RNAcentral